Molecule: ribosomal RNA, 465 nt
Filed under: uncultured Klebsiella sp.
Lineage: Bacteria; Pseudomonadati; Pseudomonadota; Gammaproteobacteria; Enterobacterales; Enterobacteriaceae
Description: bacterial SSU rRNA
Rfam family: Bacterial small subunit ribosomal RNA
Source: RNAcentral
CCUACGGGGGGCUGCAGUGGGGAAUAUUGCACAAUGGGCGCAAGCCUGAUGCAGCCAUGCCGCGUGUGUGAAGAAGGCCUUCGGGUUGUAAAGCACUUUCAGCGGGGAGGAAGGCGGUGAGGUUAAUAACCUCAUCGAUUGACGUUACCCGCAGAAGAAGCACCGGCUAACUCCGUGCCAGCAGCCGCGGUAAUACGGAGGGUGCAAGCGCUAAUCGGAAUUACUGGGCGUAAAGCGCACGCAGGCGGUCUGUCAAGUCGGAUGUGAAAUCCCCGGGCUCAACCUGGGAACUGCAUUCGAAACUGGCAGGCUAGAGUCUUGUAGAGGGGGGUAGAAUUCCAGGUGUAGCGGUGAAAUGCGUAGAGAUCUGGAGGAAUACCGGUGGCGAAGGCGGCCCCCUGGACAAAGACUGACGCUCAGGUGCGAAAGCGUGGGGAGCAAACAGGAUUAGAUACCCGAGUAGUC